Molecule: ribosomal RNA, 465 nt
Filed under: uncultured bacterium
Lineage: Bacteria
Description: partial 16S ribosomal RNA
Rfam family: Bacterial small subunit ribosomal RNA
Source: RNAcentral
CCUACGGGGGGCAGCAGUAGGGAAUCUUCCACAAUGGGCGAAAGCCUGAUGGAGCAACGCCGCGUGGGUGAAGAAGGUCUUCGGAUCGUAAAACCCGUUUGUUAGAGAAGAAAGUGCGUGAGAGUAACUGUUCACGUUUCGACGGAAUCUAACCAGAAAGCAACGGCUAACUACGGGCCAGCAGCCGCGGUAAUACGUAGGUGGCAAGCGUUAUCCGGAUUUAUUGGGCGUAAAGGGAACGCAGGCGGUCUUUUAAGUCUGAUGUGAAAGCCUUCGGCUUAACCGGAGUAGUGCAUUGGAAACUGGGAGACUUGAGUGCAGAAGAGGAGAGUGGAACUCCAUGUGUAGCGGUGAAAUGCGUAGAUAUUAGGAGGAACACCAGUGGCGAAGGCGGCUUACUGGACUGUAACUGACGUUGAGGCUCGAAAGCGUGGGGAGCAAACAGGAUUAGAUACCCGUGUAGUC